This 1218-nucleotide ribosomal RNA is filed under the name Staphylococcus aureus. RNAcentral's name for it is "bacterial SSU rRNA". It matches the Rfam family "Bacterial small subunit ribosomal RNA", at positions 93 to 1296 of the family's 1533-position model. The record is from RNAcentral. Lineage: Bacteria; Bacillati; Bacillota; Bacilli; Caryophanales; Staphylococcaceae.
UAGCGGCGGACGGGUGAGUAACACGUGGAUAACCUACCUAUAAGACUGGGAUAACUUCGGGAAACCGGAGCUAAUACCGGAUAAUAUUUUGAACCGCAUGGUUCAAAAGUGAAAGACGGUCUUGCUGUCACUUAUAGAUGGAUCCGCGCUGCAUUAGCUAGUUGGUAAGGUAACGGCUUACCAAGGCAACGAUGCAUAGCCGACCUGAGAGGGUGAUCGGCCACACUGGAACUGAGACACGGUCCAGACUCCUACGGGAGGCAGCAGUAGGGAAUCUUCCGCAAUGGGCGAAAGCCUGACGGAGCAACGCCGCGUGAGUGAUGAAGGUCUUCGGAUCGUAAAACUCUGUUAUUAGGGAAGAACAUAUGUGUAAGUAACUGUGCACAUCUUGACGGUACCUAAUCAGAAAGCCACGGCUAACUACGUGCCAGCAGCCGCGGUAAUACGUAGGUGGCAAGCGUUAUCCGGAAAUUAUUGGGCGUAAAGCGCGCGUAGGCGGUUUUUUAAGUCUGAUGUGAAAGCCCACGGCUCAACCGUGGAGGGUCAUUGGAAACUGGAAAACUUGAGUGCAGAAGAGGAAAGUGGAAUUCCAUGUGUAGCGGUGAAAUGCGCAGAGAUAUGGAGGAACACCAGUGGCGAAGGCGACUUUCUGGUCUGUAACUGACGCUGAUGUGCGAAAGCGUGGGGAUCAAACAGGAUUAGAUACCCUGGUAGUCCACGCCGUAAACGAUGAGUGCUAAGUGUUAGGGGGUUUCCGCCCCUUAGUGCUGCAGCUAACGCAUUAAGCACUCCGCCUGGGGAGUACGACCGCAAGGUUGAAACUCAAAGGAAUUGACGGGGACCCGCACAAGCGGUGGAGCAUGUGGUUUAAUUCGAAGCAACGCGAAGAACCUUACCAAAUCUUGACAUCCUUUGACAACUCUAGAGAUAGAGCCUUCCCCUUCGGGGGACAAAGUGACAGGUGGUGCAUGGUUGUCGUCAGCUCGUGUCGUGAGAUGUUGGGUUAAGUCCCGCAACGAGCGCAACCCUUAAGCUUAGUUGCCAUCAUUAAGUUGGGCACUCUAAGUUGACUGCCGGUGACAAACCGGAGGAAGGUGGGGAUGACGUCAAAUCAUCAUGCCCCUUAUGAUUUGGGCUACACACGUGCUACAAUGGACAAUACAAAGGGCAGCGAAACCGCGAGGUCAAGCAAAUCCCAUAAAGUUGUUCUCAGUUCGG